CUGGGGCGGUCGCCUCCUAAAAGGUAACGGAGGCGCUCAAAGGUUCCCUCAGAAUGGUUGGAAAUCAUUCAUAGAGUGUAAAGGCAUAAGGGAGCUUGACUGCGAGACCUACAAGUCGAGCAGGGUCGAAAGACGGACUUAGUGAUCCGGUGGUUCCGCAUGGAAGGGCCAUCGCUCAACGGAUAAAAGCUACCCCGGGGAUAACAGGCUUAUCUCCCCCAAGAGUUCACAUCGACGGGGAGGUUUGGCACCUCGAUGUCGGCUCAUCGCAUCCUGGGGCUGUAGUCGGUCCCAAGGGUUGGGCUGUUCGCCCAUUAAAGCGGUACGCGAGCUGGGUUCAGAACGUCGUGAGACAGUUCGGUCCCUAUCCGUCGUGGGCGUAGGAAAUUUGAGAGGAGCUGUCCUUAGUACGAGAGGACCGGGAUGGACAUACCUCUGGUGUACCAGUUGUCGUGCCAACGGCAUAGCUGGGUAGCUAUGUGUGGACGGGAUAAGUGCUGAAAGCAUCUAAGCAUGAAGCCCCCCUCAAGAUGAGAUUUCCCAACUUCGGUUAUAAGAUCCCUCAAAGAUGAUGAGGUUAAUAGGUUCGAGGUAGAAGCAUGG
RNAcentral lists this ribosomal RNA (603 nucleotides) under Staphylococcus aureus. RNAcentral's name for it is "partial 23S ribosomal RNA". It matches the Rfam family "Bacterial large subunit ribosomal RNA", at positions 2274 to 2878 of the family's 2925-position model. The record is from RNAcentral. Lineage: Bacteria; Bacillati; Bacillota; Bacilli; Caryophanales; Staphylococcaceae.